This 517-nucleotide long non-coding RNA is filed under the name Brassica napus (rape). Its description in RNAcentral is "long non-coding RNA (BNAP_LNC024146)". Lineage: Eukaryota; Viridiplantae; Streptophyta; Magnoliopsida; Brassicales; Brassicaceae. The record is from RNAcentral.
ACAAAUUAUUUCUCUACAAUUUAUCCGAUUGUAAAAGGAAACAUUAAAAAAAAAAAUCUAAUUUCAACUAUUAUUUAGUAAAAAAGAGGUAUGCAAUGAUAUGUUACUGUAAUCGAGUUUGAGAGGUUUGUGAAGGAAAAAAAAUGUCAAUUAGUUUCUUGAAAAUUGUAUUUCAAUUUCUAUGUAGAACCUUUGUAUAAUCCGUUGAACUAUGCAUGUGAGUAUAUUGACAAAAAAAACCCAUAAAAUAUUAUAUUAGAAAAACGAUAUUGUUAAAGUUUAUUUAGGAAAGAACAUUACAAUAAAUUUGUAAAGUUGGUCUGAGAAGCUCUCUACAUGUGUCACGUUAGCAUAUUCAUUCUUGAAUUGCUGUGAGACUGUCACGUGGCAAACAUGAACACAUUAAUCUCACGUGUUUUCUUUUAAUAUCUAGGAGAUUGAAAGUAGUGUUACCAAAAAAAAAUUUAAUUGAAAGUAAAACUGUACUCCCUCCGUUCCUAAAAGAUAGACUUUUUAG